RNAcentral lists this non-coding RNA (26 nucleotides) under Cricetulus griseus (Chinese hamster). The record is from RNAcentral. Lineage: Eukaryota; Metazoa; Chordata; Mammalia; Rodentia; Cricetidae.
AUGGACACAUGCAGGCAGAACACUGU